This 275-nucleotide ribosomal RNA is filed under the name uncultured Sporichthya sp. RNAcentral describes it as "partial 16S ribosomal RNA". It matches the Rfam family "Bacterial small subunit ribosomal RNA", at positions 338 to 625 of the family's 1533-position model. Lineage: Bacteria; Bacillati; Actinomycetota; Actinomycetes; Sporichthyales; Sporichthyaceae. The record is from RNAcentral.
CCUACGGGUGGCUGCAGUGGGGAAUAUUGCGCAAUGGGCGAAAGCCUGACGCAGCGACGCAGCGUGAGGGACGAAGGCCUUCGGGUUGUAAACCUCUUUCAGCGGGGACGAAGCGAAAGUGACGGUACCCGCAGAAGAAGCACCGGCUAACUACGUGCCAGCAGCCGCGGUAAUACGUAGGGUGCAAGCAUUGUCCGGAUUUAUUGGGCGUAAAGAGCUCGUAGGCGGCUUGUCACGUCGGAUGUGAAAACUCGGGGCUCAACCCCGAGCCUGCA